ACGGGAGGCAGCAGUGGGGAAUAUUGCGCAAUGGGCGAAAGCCUGACGCAGCGACGCCGCGUGAGGGAAGAAGGUUUUCGAAUUGUAAACCUCUGUCAGAAGGAAAGAAAGCAUAAUCUGCCAAUCAGGAUUAUGUUGACGGUACCUUCAAAGGAAGCACCGGCUAACUCCGUGCCAGCAGCCGCGGUAAUACGGAGGGUGCGAGCGUUAAUCGGAAUUACUGGGCGUAAAGCGUGCGUAGGCUGUAAUUCAAGUCAAGGGUGAAAUCCCCGUGCUUAACAUGGGAACUGCCUUUGAAACUGGGUUACUUGAGUAUGUGAGAGGAUGGCGGAAUUCCGGGUGUAGGAGUGAAAUCCGUAGAUAUUCGGAAGAACAUCAGUGGCGAAGGCGGCCAUCUGGCGCAUAACUGACGCUGAGGGACGAAAGCGUGGGUAGCAAACAGGAUUAGAUACCCUGGUA
RNAcentral lists this ribosomal RNA (459 nucleotides) under uncultured Desulfovibrio sp. RNAcentral's name for it is "partial 16S ribosomal RNA". It matches the Rfam family "Bacterial small subunit ribosomal RNA", at positions 341 to 792 of the family's 1533-position model. Lineage: Bacteria; Pseudomonadati; Thermodesulfobacteriota; Desulfovibrionia; Desulfovibrionales; Desulfovibrionaceae. The record is from RNAcentral. RNAcentral also lists the same sequence under 1 other name.